AACGUAGGAGGCGAGCGUUAUCCGGAGUUACUGGGCGUAAAGAGCGUGUAGGCGGGUGUGCAAGUUUGGCGUGAAAGCUCCCGGCUAAACUGGGAGAGUGCGCUGAAGACUGCAUAUCUAGAGGCGAGUAGAGGGACGUGGAAUUCCGGGUGUAGUGGUGAAAUGCGUAGAGAUCCGGAGGAACACCAGUGGCGAAGGCGACGUCCUGGGCUUGACCUGACGCUGAGACGCGACAGCACGGGGAGCGAACGGGAUUAGAAACCCUAGUAGUCC
This 273-nucleotide ribosomal RNA is filed under the name uncultured bacterium. RNAcentral describes it as "partial 16S ribosomal RNA". It matches the Rfam family "Bacterial small subunit ribosomal RNA", at positions 524 to 796 of the family's 1533-position model. The record is from RNAcentral.